GAUGAAGAACGUAGCGAAAUGCGAUAAGUAAUGUGAAUUGCAGAAUUCCGUGAAUCAUCGAAACUUUGAACGCACAUUGCGCCCCCUGGCAUUCCGGGGGGCAUGCCUGUCCGAGCGUCAUUUCUGCCCUCAAGCCCGGCUUGUGUGUUGGGCGUGGUCCCCCCGGUUUAGGGGGGACCUGCCCGAAAGGCAGCGGCGACGUUCCGCCUAGGUCCUCGAGCGUAUGGGGCUUUGUCACCCGCUCGGGAGGGGCCUACGGGCGUUGGCCAUCCACCAUUUAUUUUUUUUACGGUUGACCUCGGAUCAGGUAGGAGUUACCCGCUGAACUUAAGCAUAUCAAUAAGCGGAGGA
RNAcentral lists this unclassified non-coding RNA (351 nucleotides) under soil metagenome. Its description in RNAcentral is "partial contains 5.8S ribosomal RNA, internal transcribed spacer 2, and large subunit ribosomal RNA". The stretch from base 1 to 120 matches the Rfam family "5.8S ribosomal RNA", at positions 35 to 154 of the family's 154-position model. The record is from RNAcentral.